This 449-nucleotide ribosomal RNA is filed under the name uncultured bacterium. RNAcentral's name for it is "bacterial SSU rRNA". It matches the Rfam family "Bacterial small subunit ribosomal RNA", at positions 28 to 457 of the family's 1533-position model. The record is from RNAcentral.
GAUGAACGCUGGCGGCGUGCUUAACACAUGCAAGUCGAACGAAGCACUUUAUUUGAUUUCCUUCGGGACUGAUUAUUUUGUGACUGAGUGGCGGACGGGUGAGUAACGCGUGGGUAACCUGCCUUGUACAGGGGGAUAACAGUUGGAAACGGCUGCUAAUACCGCAUAAGCGCACGGCAUCGCAUGAUGCAGUGUGAAAAACUCCGGUGGUAUAAGAUGGACCCGCGUUGGAUUAGCUAGUUGGUGGGGUAACGGCCCACCAAGGCGACGAUCCGUAGCCGACCUGAGAGGGUGACCGGCCACAUUGGGACUGAGACACGGCCCAAACUCCUACGGGAGGCAGCAGUGGGGAAUAUUGCACAAUGGGCGAAAGCCUGAUGCAGCGACGCCGCGUGAGCGAAGAAGUAUUUCGGUAUGUAAAGCUCUAUCAGCAGGGAAGAUAAUGACGG